GUAGCAUUUGAAAUUCUGGGAUUGUUACAAUUUUAGAAGUAAAACAACAUUGAAUUCAACGACAAAAUCAAUUAGUACAAUUUCGAGAAUAAAACCCACAGAAAUUAUAUUUAAUAACAAACACUUCCGGCACCUAUUAGUUCGUAUAAAGCAGUCGUUGUUUGUCCUGUGAUCGAGUGGCCAUGGAGAACCGAAUGGUGGGCGGCAAGUACCGGGCGAUCGAGCGAAUCGGUGGGGGAGCCUUUGGCGAGGUAUACAGUGGCAUUUGCGUGGAGGAUAACACCGAGGUGGCCAUCAAGAUUGAGCCACACGAUUCGAAGAGCCCGCAGCUGGCGAACGAGGCCAAAGUGUGCCAGAAGUUGGGCGACAGUCCAGGGUUUCCCACCUUCUUUUACUACGGCAGCGAGCAGAACUUCAAGGUCAUGGUGGUAGAGCCCCUGGGACCAUCGCUGUACGAUCUCUACCUCAUGUGCAGCCGUCACUUUUCCCUGAAGACCAUCCUGAUGCUCGCCAGCCAGAUGAUGGCACGGCUGGAGGCCAUCCACGCCAUCGGAUACAUCCAUCGCGACGUCAAGCCUGAGAACUUCCUGAUGGGACGGGGCGACAAGCGCAACAAGGUGUUUCUGAUCGACUUUGGAAUGUCGCAUCCUUACAGGGAUUUCGCCACGAAGAAGCAUAUUAACUUUUCCCCGACGUGCUCUAUAGUUGGCACCUUGCGCUUUUUAUCCGUCCGUGCCCAGAACGGCAACGAGCAGUCGCGUCGCGAUGACCUGGAGUCCCUCAUGUACUGCCUGAUAUACUUCUAUAAGGGCCUGCCGUGGAUCGGGCUCUCCUUCGCCAACAACAAGCAGAAGACUGAGAUGGUCGCAGAGAUGAAGAGGAGCACGAAGAUCGACGAUCUGUGCGGCGGGCUUCCACCCAUGAUCACUAUGCUCACGAAAUACAUCCGCAACCUGCGCUUCGAGGACGAACCCGACUACGUGUACAUGCGUAUGAUGCUCCGCGUCCUCUCUCUGGAUCUGGGCUACGUGUACGACCUCAGAUUCGAUUGGACCCAGCUGGAGGAGCAGCAGAACAGAGACCAUGAGUCAACGGAACCAGAAUCGACGGUACAGUCGUCCUCUGUCUACAGGACUUGCCUUACCAGCCCAGAUGUAGGUGUUUGACUAUUGAACGCAGGGUUUGAAUCGAUUCCGGAACAUUAAACACAGAUUACGAUUCAACUUUGUUUUGUUUUGAGAGAAGAAGUUUUCAAGGACACAUUCCCGUUUGUCUUAGGGCUAGCAAUGGGUUUCCACACAAUAAAAUUCAAUACAACUAAAAAAUUAGUGUACUAUCGGAAGCGCUGUGAGGCGCGGCAAGGGCCGCGGCACUACCCGGCCAGUGUAUAAGAGCACGCCCAAUCUCUUUCUCUCUUUCUCGCCGAUGUUUUUGAAUUCUGCUCGCAGGUUUCAUGAGAGAUGGGAAAAAAUUGAGAGAGCAAGAGUGGAACCACCACCACUAGUUAUGCUAAUCAGCAGCAGACGUUAUUACUCGCUCUCCUCCGCCAGAGGGCGAACACUGCACGAGGAACAGUGUGUGGGAGUGAUGGAGAGGGAAAGUAAGCACAUGGAAGGAGAGUAGCCACUGCAAUUUCUUUUGUUUCGAUCUGAUCCAGCAAAGAUUCAGCAUUCUUCUCGAUAAGGUAAUUUUCUAUGAUUCUCCGUUUAGAUGCCAUAGAUAUUAAUUCUCUGGGGUGGCGGAAGGAGUCGGGGCUAAAUGUUGAUGUACACUUGUAACAGCGUGGUUCACAGGAGUCUACAUCCAAAAUUUGGUUGCUCUGGCUCUUGUGGUCUCUGAGAUCUAAGAAGACAUAGUUAUAUCAAUAGAUGAUGAUGCUGAUGAAGUGCGGCUUUAGUGGGGCCCGGAAACGCUUCCUUUUGGAGUGAGACUUUUAGGCCUUUCAUUGGAAAUAUCCCCAAGAAAUGUCUCUCCUUUCCAAUAGUGUGGCUAGACUCCUACUAGCCCAUAAUACUACUUCUUUGAUUACAAAUAAAGUGACUAGAGCUGCUCCAUUCACAAGUUGCUGCCAAAAAAAUAAAUAGAGCAAAGCUUGACAGGCAGAACCAUGUGUUAAAUGUCAAAAUCCGUACAAGUACCAAAUUAAUUUCCAAAUAAAAAAGGCCAGAGCUCAGUAGAUUGCAAUUCAGUCGGCGAGCGAGCUGUGGCUAAAAAAAAAAAAAAUUCAGACGAAACCGAGA
This is an RNA transcript of Drosophila miranda, 2240 nucleotides long. It is a transcript of the gene named casein kinase I, with no coding region annotated. NCBI's taxonomy places the organism in Eukaryota, Metazoa, Arthropoda, Insecta, Diptera, Drosophilidae. The transcript has 3 exons. The record is from RefSeq and is a predicted model, not a curated record.